Molecule: long non-coding RNA, 327 nt
Filed under: Brassica napus (rape)
Lineage: Eukaryota; Viridiplantae; Streptophyta; Magnoliopsida; Brassicales; Brassicaceae
Description: long non-coding RNA (BNAP_LNC007927)
Source: RNAcentral
AUAGGAAAUGAAAAAAGAUGAGAAAAAAUCAAAACUUUAGGACAUUAACACUCCCAAUUUGGUAGUUGAUGGUGGUUGAGGUAUUGAAGUCAAUGGAAAGUUGUAAAUAUUUGGUGGAGAUGAGGAUGGUAAGGUAAAAACCUUAUUUUCGAAAUAUAAGUAAUGGUAUUUUCGUGAAUAACUAGAACUUUCAAGGCGAAUAGAACAAAACAAAGUUUCGAAAAAACAUAAGUUAUUUUUGUGUUUUACUUGAAAUUUUGAGUCAUUUUUGAAAGAACCCCUAUUUUAUAAGGAUAGAUGAUAGCAUAUACAAGAUAUAUAUACUAU